GACGAACGCUGGCGGCGUGCUUAACACAUGCAAGUCGAACGAUGAAGCUGGAGCUUGCUCCGGUGGAUUAGUGGCGAACGGGUGAGUAACACGUGAGCAAUCUGCCCUUGACUCUGGGAUAACUGCGGGAAACUGUAGCUAAUACCGGAUACUUUCACUGGAAGGCAUCUUCUGGUGAAGAAAGAAUUUCGGUCAAGGAUGAGCUCGCGGCCUAUCAGCUUGUUGGUGAGGUAACGGCUCACCAAGGCGACGACGGGUAGCCGGCCUGAGAGGGUGACCGGCCACACUGGGACUGAGACACGGCCCAGACUCCUACGGGAGGCAGCAGUGGGGAAUAUUGCACAAUGGGCGCAAGCCUGAUGCAGCAACGCCGCGUGAGGGAUGAAGGCCUUCGGGUUGUAAACCUCUUUUAGUAGGGAAGAAGCGAAAGUGACGGUACCUGCAGAAAGCCACGGCUAACUACGUGCCAGCCGCCGCCGUAA
RNAcentral lists this ribosomal RNA (482 nucleotides) under uncultured bacterium. RNAcentral describes it as "partial 16S ribosomal RNA". It matches the Rfam family "Bacterial small subunit ribosomal RNA", at positions 28 to 523 of the family's 1533-position model. The record is from RNAcentral.